UACAGAGGUCUCAAGCGUUGUUCGGAUUCAUUGGGCGUAAAGGGUGUGUAGGUGGCGCGCUAAGUCGGGUGUGAAAUUUCGGAGCUUAACUCCGAAACUGCAUUCGAUACUGGCGUGCUUGAGGACUGGAGAGGAGACUGGAAUUCAUGGUGUAGCAGUGAAAUGCGUAGAGAUCGGGAGGAACACCGGUGGCGAAGGCGGGUCUCUGGGCAUCUCCUGACGCUGAGGCGCGAAAGCGUGGGGAGCAAACGGG
RNAcentral lists this ribosomal RNA (253 nucleotides) under uncultured bacterium. RNAcentral describes it as "partial 16S ribosomal RNA". It matches the Rfam family "Bacterial small subunit ribosomal RNA", at positions 524 to 776 of the family's 1533-position model. The record is from RNAcentral.